Molecule: ribosomal RNA, 566 nt
Filed under: Peltophryne longinasus (Cuban long-nosed toad)
Lineage: Eukaryota; Metazoa; Chordata; Amphibia; Anura; Bufonidae
Description: partial 16S ribosomal RNA
Rfam family: Bacterial large subunit ribosomal RNA
Source: RNAcentral
CGCCUCUUGAACUUAUAUAAGAGGUCCAGCCUGCCCAGUGACCAUGUUUAACGGCCGCGGUAUCCUAACCGUGCGAAGGUAGCGUAAUCACUUGUUCUUUAAAUGAGGACUAGUAUGAACGGCAUCACGAGGGUUAUACUGUCUCCUUUUUCCAAUCAGUGAACCUAAUCUCCCCGUGAAGAAGCGGGAAUAAGAUUAUAAGACGAGAAGACCCUAUGGAGCUUAAAACAACACAGCACCUGCUAAAAAAUUUAACAAUUUCAGAAUUUUUCAUUUUUUAAGCACUAUGACUGCAAGUUUUUGGUUGGGGUGACCACGGAGCAUAACAUAACCUCCAUGUUGAAAGAAUAUUUUUCUAAGCCAAAAAUUACACUUUUAAGCAUCAAUAAAUUGACAUCUAUUGACCCAAUAUAUUUGAACAACGAACCAAGUUACCCUAGGGAUAACAGCGCAAUCCACUUCAAGAGCUCCUAUCGACAAGUGGGUUUACGACCUCGAUGUUGGAUCAGGGUUUCCCAGUGGUGCAGCCGCUACUAAAGGUUCGUUUGUUCAACGAUUAAAACCCU